Molecule: ribosomal RNA, 459 nt
Filed under: uncultured bacterium
Lineage: Bacteria
Description: partial 16S ribosomal RNA
Rfam family: Bacterial small subunit ribosomal RNA
Source: RNAcentral
CCUACGGGGCGCUGCAGUGAGGAAUAUUGGUCAAUGGCCGGAAGGCUGAACCAGCCAAGCCGCGUGAAGGACGAAGGUGCCAAGCAUUGUAAACUUCUUUUGUCAAGGGAAAAAAUCAGACUCGAGAGCCUGACCGAGGGUACUUGAAGAAAAAGCAUCGGCUAACUCCGUGCCAGCGGCCGCGGUAAUACGGAGGAUGCGAGCGUUGUCCGGAUUUAUUGGGUUUAAAGGGUGCGUAGGCGGACUGUUACGUCAGCGGUAAAACCCCGGGGCUAAGCCCCGGCGUGCCGUUGAAACUGGCUGUCUUGAGAUGUCGAGAGGUAUGCGGAAUGCGCAGUGUAGCGGUGAAAUGCUUAGAUAUUGCGCAGAACUCCGAUUGCGAAGGCAGCAUACCGGCGGCGAUCUGACGCUGAGGCACGAAAGCGUGGGUAUCGAACAGGAUUAGAUACCCUAGUAGUC